GGGACUUUAGCAAUUUUAUGUAGGGUAUCUACCAAUCAUAAAUGUAAUAGAAUUUCAUUCCUGCGAUGAUUUACACAAACAAAAAUAAGGAAUUGCUAUUGUAAUGCUACUACAUAUCCUGGAUGUGCACAAAUUUAUUCAGUGUAAAUUCAAUUUCUUUCAAUACGCACCCUAAUCUAGUUUAACAAUGCACUUUAGCCAAGCCUACUUUACUUUCUUGAAACUAUGGGUUGAAGAGAAUUCAUCUAGCAAGCACACACCGCGCAUCUCCCGGUUUGGUCACUGCCAGAUUGGGCUGUCCUUCAUCACUUAAAACAGUAAUAGUUAUAGUAUUUUAAUAGUUCUUUAAACAAUGAAAUACAUCCUAUAUUUCCCUCAAGAAAAUCAGCAUCACCGUCACUUAAAGGUUCACGAACUGUUCUUUCCUUGCUUGGGGACUGAAUAGCAUAAUCACUCCAACCAAAUCUUUGAUCUGAAGUCAUCUUUGAUCUGAAGUCCUAGGCAGUUUGCUUGACAUUUUUGGAUAAGGAGUAGGUUCAACUUCUGACUAAUAGCUUGACUGUUCAAUCUUAAAGUGUGUGUUUUGCUUAGACUUGAAAUUCUAUAUUUCAUUAUGCUAUCCUAAGUAUUUAGAUUUAGCAAUAUGGAGAAUACAUUUUCUUGAAAUUGUUUUUUUUUUUAAUAUCUACAAAUUUCAAUGUGAUUAACUAACUCUUGUUAUUAUAGUUCAGCCUUUAAGUUUCAAAGGACUCAUCCUCCCAGAUACCAUCCUGGGCAGUAUAGCCACUUUCAGCCUUUAAGUUUCAAAGGACUCAUCCUCCCAGAUACCAUCCUGGGCAGUAUAGCCACUGGUGAAUAUAACAGCAUUCCCACACUCUGUAGAUUAAUGAAGAUUAAUGAUUAAAAAAAAAAAGCUUACCUGUUCGUGGAAGACUACCUCUUUGCUCUUAAUUUCAGAAGAGCCUUUCCGUGGAAGGAAGCUCUUGAAGGUAGAUAAAUUCUUGGCGAGGUAGUGCAUUCCCAUGGUCGAAAGCAAAAAUGCAAAGCAGAAAUUUGGAGAAUGAUUUUGAAUGAUAGUUAACCUGUAAUAUAUAGUGUGUAAUAGAUGUCUUAGAGUGAAAGAGUUCUAUAUGUAUAUUAAAUAGUUUUGAAUUCCCGGUGAGA
Ipomoea triloba (trilobed morning glory) is the source of this 1164-nucleotide long non-coding RNA. RefSeq lists it as uncharacterized. The record is from RefSeq and is a predicted model, not a curated record. The transcript has 4 exons. Lineage: Eukaryota; Viridiplantae; Streptophyta; Magnoliopsida; Solanales; Convolvulaceae.